Molecule: transfer RNA, 68 nt
Filed under: Cryptobatrachus sp. TNHC-GDC 451
Lineage: Eukaryota; Metazoa; Chordata; Amphibia; Anura; Hemiphractidae
Description: tRNA-Ser
Source: RNAcentral
GAGCUUGAGUAGACUAGGUGAGAACUGCUAAUUAAUCACCUCUAUGGUUCAAUCCCAUAGCAAUCUUA